RNAcentral lists this ribosomal RNA (449 nucleotides) under uncultured bacterium. RNAcentral's name for it is "partial 16S ribosomal RNA". It matches the Rfam family "Bacterial small subunit ribosomal RNA", at positions 330 to 794 of the family's 1533-position model. The record is from RNAcentral.
UCCAGACUCCUACGGGAGGCAGCAGUGGGGAAUAUUGCACAAUGGGGGGAACCCUGAUGCAGCGACGCCGCGUGGGCGAGGAAGUAUUUCGGUAUGUAAAGCCCUAUCGGCAGGGAAGAAGAAAUGACGGUACCUGAAUAAGAAGCACCGGCUAAAUACGUGCCAGCAGCCGCGGGAAUACGUAUGGUGCAAGCGUUAUCCGGAUUUACUGGGUGUAAAGGGAGCGUAGGCGGUUUAGCAAGUCAGAAGUGAAAGCCCGGGGCUCAACUCCGGGACUGCUCUUGGAACUGCGCGGCUGGAGUGCAGGAGGGGCAGGCGGAAUUCCUGGUGUAGCGGUGAAAUGCGUAGAUAUCAGGAGGAACACCGGUGGCGAAGGCGGCCUGCUGGACUGCGACUGACGUUGAGGCCCGAAAGCGUGGGGAGCAAACAGGAUUAGAUACCCCUGUAAC